AUACGGAGGAUGCAAGCGUUAUCCGGAUUCAUUGGGUUUAAAGGGUGCGUAGGCGGGCGCCUAAGUCAGCGGUGAAAUGCAGCGGCUCAACCGUUGAACUGCCGUUGAAACUGGGCGCCUUGGAUGCGGUCGAGGCCGGCGGAAUGCGUGGUGUAGCGGUGAAAUGCUUAGAUAUCACGCAGAACGCCAAUUGCGAAGGCAGCUGGCCGGGCCGCAAUCGACGCUGAGGCACGAAAGCGUGGGGAUC
Molecule: ribosomal RNA, 247 nt
Filed under: uncultured bacterium
Lineage: Bacteria
Description: partial 16S ribosomal RNA
Rfam family: Bacterial small subunit ribosomal RNA
Source: RNAcentral